RNAcentral lists this microRNA (22 nucleotides) under Triops cancriformis. RNAcentral's name for it is "tcf-miR-13". Its record names the gene tcf-miR-13. The record is from miRBase by way of RNAcentral. Lineage: Eukaryota; Metazoa; Arthropoda; Branchiopoda; Notostraca; Triopsidae.
UAUCACAGCCAUUCUUGAUGAG